CGCUGGCGGCGUGCUUAACACAUGCAAGUCGAACGGUGAACCAGAGCUUGCUCUGGGGAUCAGUGGCGAACGGGUGAGUAACACGUGGGCAACCUGCCCCAGACUCUGGGAUAACCUCGGGAAACCGAUGCUAAUACCGGAUACGACCACUUCGGACAUCCGACGGUGGUGGAAAGUUUUUCGGUCUGGGAUGGGCCCGCGGCCUAUCAGCUAGUUGGUGGGGUAAUGGCCUACCAAGGCGACGACGGGUAGCCGGCCUGAGAGGGCGACCGGCCACACUGGAACUGAGACACGGUCCAGACUCCUACGGGAGGCAGCAGUGGGGAAUAUUGCACAAUGGGCGAAAGCCUGAUGCAGCGACGCCGCGUGAGGGACGACGGCCUUCGGGUUGUAAACCUCUUUCAGCAGGGACGAAGCGAAAGUGACUGUACCUGCAGAAGAAGCACCGGCUAACUACGUG
Molecule: ribosomal RNA, 460 nt
Filed under: uncultured bacterium
Lineage: Bacteria
Description: bacterial SSU rRNA
Rfam family: Bacterial small subunit ribosomal RNA
Source: RNAcentral